RNAcentral lists this ribosomal RNA (300 nucleotides) under uncultured bacterium. RNAcentral describes it as "bacterial SSU rRNA". It matches the Rfam family "Bacterial small subunit ribosomal RNA", at positions 28 to 328 of the family's 1533-position model. The record is from RNAcentral.
GACGAACGCUGGCGGCGUGCUUAACACAUGCAAGUCGAGCGGUAAGGCCCUUUCGGGGGUACGACGAGCGGCGAACGGGUGAGUAACACGUGGGUGACCUGCCCUCAGCUCUGGGAUAAGCCUGGGAAACCGGGUACUAAUACCGGAUAUGACUCCAUGACGCAUGUUGUGGGGUGGAAAGCCUUGUGCGGCUGAGGAUGGGCCCGCGGCCUAUCAGCUUGUUGGUGGGGUGAUGGCCUACCAAGGCGACGACGGGUAGCCGGCCUGAGAGGGCGACCGGCCACACUGGGACUGGAGACG